AUCGCUUCUCGGCCUUUUGGCUAAGAUCAAGUGUAGUAUCUGUUCUUAUCAGUUUAAAAACGUAAAGCCGAGUCUCUUUAAGCUUGGCAGGGGUCUGACAUGACUAAGGCUGCUAUUAUUAUUAUUAUUAUUAUUAUUAUUAUUAUUAUUACUACUACUACUA
Molecule: small nuclear RNA, 163 nt
Organism: Rattus norvegicus (Norway rat)
Lineage: Eukaryota; Metazoa; Chordata; Mammalia; Rodentia; Muridae
Product: U2 spliceosomal RNA
Source: Ensembl